RNAcentral lists this ribosomal RNA (814 nucleotides) under Alkalibacillus sp. RNAcentral describes it as "bacterial SSU rRNA". It matches the Rfam family "Bacterial small subunit ribosomal RNA", at positions 639 to 1454 of the family's 1533-position model. Lineage: Bacteria; Bacillati; Bacillota; Bacilli; Caryophanales; Bacillaceae. The record is from RNAcentral.
AACUUGAGGACAGAAGAGGAGAGCGGAAUUCCACGUGUAGCGGUGAAAUGCGUAGAUAUGUGGAGGAACACCAGUGGCGAAGGCGGCUCUCUGGUCUGUAACUGACGCUGAGGCGCGAAAGCAUGGGUAGCGAACAGGAUUAGAUACCCUGGUAGUCCAUGCCGUAAACGUUGAGUGCUAGGUGUUAGGGGGUCCAACCCUUAGUGCUGCAGUUAACGCAAUAAGCACUCCGCCUGGGGAGUACGGCCGCAAGGCUGAAACUCAAAGGAAUUGACGGGGGCCUGCACAAGCGGUGGAGCAUGUGGUUUAAUUCGACGCAACGCGAAGAACCUUACCAGGUCUUGACAUCUUCGGACAGCCCAAGAGAUUGGGUCUUCCCUUCGGGGACCGAAUGACAGGUGGUGCAUGGUUGUCGUCAGCUCGUGUCGUGAGAUGUUGGGUUAAGUCCCGUAACGAGCGCAACCCCUGAUCUUAGUUGCCAGCAUUAAGUUGGGCACUCUAGGAUGACUGCCGGUGACAAACCGGAGGAAGGCGGGGAUGACGUCAAAUCAUCAUGCCCCUUAUGACCUGGGCUACACACGUGCUACAAUGGAUGGUACAAAGGGAAGCCAAACCGCGAGGUCGAGCUAAUCCCAUAAAGCCAUUCUCAGUUCGGAUUGUAGGCUGCAACUCGCCUGCAUGAAGCCGGAAUCGCUAGUAAUCGCGGAUCAGAAUGCCGCGGUGAAUACGUUCCCAGGCCUUGUACACACCGCCCGUCACACCACGAGAGUUGGCAACACCCGAAGUCGGUGGGGUAACCUUCACGGAGCCAGCC